AGUGAACGCUGGCGGUAGGCCUAACACAUGCAAGUCGAACGGCAGCACAGGAGAGCUUGCUCUCUGGGUGGCGAGUGGCGGACGGGUGAGGAAUACAUCGGAAUCUACUCUGUCGUGGGGGAUAACGUAGGGAAACUUACGCUAAUACCGCAUACGACCUACGGGUGAAAGCAGGGGAUCUUCGGACCUUGCGCGAUUGAAUGAGCCGAUGUCGGAUUAGCUAGUUGGCGGGGUAAAGGCCCACCAAGGCGACGAUCCGUAGCUGGUCUGUGAGGAGGAUAGGCCAAACUGGUACUGGGACACGGUCCAGACUCCUACGGGAGGCAGCAGUGGGGAAUAUUGGACAAUGGGCGCAAGCCUGACCCAGCCAUACCGCGUGGGUGAAGAAGGCCUUCGGGUUGUAAAGCCCUUUUGUUGGGAAAGAAAUCCAGCUGGCUAAUACCCGGUUGGGAUGACGGUACCCAAAGAAUAAGCACCGGCUAACUUCGUGCCAGCCGCCGCCGUAA
This 506-nucleotide ribosomal RNA is filed under the name uncultured bacterium. RNAcentral describes it as "partial 16S ribosomal RNA". It matches the Rfam family "Bacterial small subunit ribosomal RNA", at positions 29 to 523 of the family's 1533-position model. The record is from RNAcentral.